UACGGGGGGAGCAAGCGUUGUUCGGAUUUACUGGGCGUAAAGGGCGCGUAGGCGGCCACCGCAAGUCGACUGUGAAAUCUCCGGGCUUAACCCGGAAAGGUCAGCCGAUACUGCGGGGCUAGAGUGCAGAAGGGGCAACUGGAAUUCUCGGUGUAGCGGUGAAAUGCGUAGAUAUCGAGAGGAACACCUGCGGCGAAGGCGGGUUGCUGGGCUGACACUGACGCUGAUGCGCGAAAGCGUGGGGAGCAAACGGG
Molecule: ribosomal RNA, 254 nt
Filed under: uncultured bacterium
Lineage: Bacteria
Description: partial 16S ribosomal RNA
Rfam family: Bacterial small subunit ribosomal RNA
Source: RNAcentral